CGGUAAUUCCAGCUCCAAUAGCGUAUACUAAAGUUGUUGCAGUUAAAAAGCUCGUAGUUGGAUUUCUGCGGGGACGGAGCGGCCGGACGCAACUUGCGUCUCGAGCUAGCGCUUUCCCCGCAUCCUGCCGCGAACCGUGCUACCAUUAGUUUGGUGGCGCCGGGGAUCGGCUCGAUUACUUUGAGAAAAAUAGAGCGUUCAAAGCAGGCCACACGCCUUGAAUAAGUUAGCAUGGAAUAAUGACUAAGGACUUUGGUUCUUUUCGUUGGUGUUCGGGACUGAAGUAAUGAUUGAUAGGGACAGUUGGGGCGGUCCGUAUUCCAAAGCGAGAGGUGAAAUUCUUAGACCUUCGGAAGACGAACAGCUGCGAAAGCGUUCCGCAAGGAUGUUCCCUUUGAUCAAGAACGAAAGUUGGGGGAUCGAAGACGAUCAGAUAUCGUCGUAGUCUCAACUAUAAACUAUACCAGCUAGGGAUCGGCCAACGUUUAACUUUAUCGACUUGGUCGGCACCUUAUGAGAAAUCAAAGCAUCUGGGUUCCGGGGGGAGUAUGGUCGCAAGGCUGAAACUUAAAGGAAUUGACGGAAGGGCACCACCAGCCGUGGAGCCUGUGGCUUAAUUUGACUCAACACGGGAAAACUUACCAGGUCCAGACAUAGGAAGGAUUGACAGAUUGAUAGCUCUUUCUUGAUUCUGUGGGUGGUGGUGCAUGGCCGUUUUUAGUCGGUGGAUGUGAUCUGUCUGCUUAAUUGCGUUAACGGACGAGACCCCAGCCUGCUAAAUAGCGCGGCCGAGCUUUGCUCGGUGCGAGCUUCUUAGAGGGACCAUGAUGCGCGAUAGCACAAGGAAGUUUGGGGCAACAACAGGUCUGUGAUGCCCUUAGAUGUUCUGGGCCGCACACGGGCUACACUGGCGCCUGCAACGAGCAUAUCAGCUGGCCCGAGAGGGUCUUGGCUAAUCUUUGGAACCGGCGCCGUGCUUGGGAUUGACCAUUGCAAUUGUUGGUCAUGCAACGAGGAAUGCCUUGUAAACGCGAGUCAUCAGCUCGCAUUGAAUACGUCCCUGCCCUUUGUACACACCGCCCGUCGCUCCUACCGAUGAAUGUUCCGAUGAAAUUUUCGGAGAGCGCCGGAGAACGGGGCUCCGCCCUGCAGAACUGGAGGCUCAAAGUCACUUAAAUCUGAACAUUUCGAGGAAGGAGAAGUCGUAACAAGGUAGCCG
This 1219-nucleotide ribosomal RNA is filed under the name uncultured Rhizaria. RNAcentral describes it as "SSU rRNA". It matches the Rfam family "Eukaryotic small subunit ribosomal RNA", at positions 577 to 1805 of the family's 1831-position model. The record is from RNAcentral.